Molecule: transfer RNA, 72 nt
Filed under: Sus scrofa (pig)
Lineage: Eukaryota; Metazoa; Chordata; Mammalia; Artiodactyla; Suidae
Rfam family: tRNA
About the family: Transfer RNA (tRNA) molecules are approximately 80 nucleotides in length. Their secondary structure includes four short double-helical elements and three loops (D, anti-codon, and T loops).
Source: Rfam by way of RNAcentral
UCUCUGGUGGUCUAGUGCUUAGGACUCGGUAUUGUCACUGCAGUGGCCCAGGUUCAAUUCCUAGUCUGGGAA